Molecule: ribosomal RNA, 518 nt
Filed under: uncultured bacterium
Lineage: Bacteria
Description: bacterial SSU rRNA
Rfam family: Bacterial small subunit ribosomal RNA
Source: RNAcentral
AGUAAAUAGAUACCCGGGUAGUCCACGCCGUAAACGAUGAUAACUAGCUGUCCGGGUUCAUAGAACUUGGGUGGCGCAGCUAAACGCAUUAAGUUAUCCGCCUGGGGAGUACGGUCGCAAGAUUAAAACUCAAAGGAAUUGACGGGGGCCUGCACAAGCGGUGGAGCAUGUGGUUUAAAUUCGAAGCAACGCGCAGAACCUUACCAGCGUUUGACAUCCUGAUCGCGGAUUAGAGAGAUCUUUUCCUUCAGUUCGGCUGGAUCAGUGACAGGUGCUGCAUGGCUGUCGUCAGCUCGUGUCGUGAGAUGUUGGGUUAAGUCCCGCAACGAGCGCAACCCUCAUCCCUAGUUGCCAUCAUUCAGUUGGGCACUCUAAGGAAACUGCCGGUGAUAAGCUGGAGGAAGGUGGGGAUGACGUCAAGUCCUCAUGGCCCUUACGCGCUGGGCUACACACGUGCUACAAUGGCAACUACAGUGGGCAGCAACCUCGCGAGGGGUAGCUAAUCUCCAAAAAGUUGU